Molecule: long non-coding RNA, 509 nt
Organism: Hyla sarda
Lineage: Eukaryota; Metazoa; Chordata; Amphibia; Anura; Hylidae
Exons: 4
Source: RefSeq, a predicted model, not a curated record
CACUAAUGCAAGUAAUGUGCACCAUAAUAUGACCACUAUACCAGAGAUAAAAUAUCUCUCUUCAGUAAAACACCAUAGGACCCAAAAAAUGAUUAAAGAUGCCACCUGCAAAUAAUCAUUUCAAAUUGUUUGGAAAUGGCCUUACAAACCUUCCCAGAUUGAUGAAAAUAUAGAACUCAAAGAGGGUGUACUUUUUUUCUCAUGACUGUAUAUUACAAAGCUACAUUUUCAAAGAAGAUUGACAGUAGGAUGACUGAACAUUACAUAUGAACAAUAACCUUAUCCAGUUACGAGCACACAAUGCUCCCUAAAUGAUUGCAUGAUUCAAGUGAGGAUAGAGUAAUACGUGAAAAUAAUAGGUUCCCAGAAAUAUUAACUGCAUGAUACCCAGGUACAAAUUCUCCAGAGAUUGUCAACCUUCCGGACUUUCUCCAGAAUUUUCCGGGUACUCUUAGCAUCCUCUCCCAUAGCCACAACUAUGCCCACUGGCAAUCCACUACUGCGAAGAG